AGUCAAGUAAUUAAGUGCAUGUGGUGGAUGCCUUGGCAGUCAGAGGCGAUGAAAGACGUGAUAGCCUGCGAAAAGCUCCGGGGAGGCGGCAAAUAUCCUUUGAUCCGGAGAUGUCUGAAUGGGGGAACCCACCUACUUUAAGGUAGGUAUUGCAACAUGAAUACAUAGUGUUGCAAGGCGAACGAGGGGAAGUGAAACAUCUCAGUACCCUUAGGAAAAGAAAUCAAUUGAGAUUCCCUCAGUAGCGGCGAGCGAACGGGGAUCAGCCCAUUAAGUUAUGUGUGUUUUAGUGGAACGCUCUGGGAAGUGCGAACGUAGAGGGUGAUAUUCCCGUACACGAAAGGGCACACAUAAUGAUGACGAGUAGGGCGAGGCACGUGAAACCUUGUCUGAAUAUGGGGGGACCAUCCUCCAAGGCUAAAUACUCCUGACUGACCGAUAGUGAACCAGUACCGUGAGGGAAAGGCGAAAAGAACCCCUGUGAGGGGAGUGAAAUAUAGAUCCUGAAACCGCAUGCAUACAAGCAGUGGGAGCACCUUCGUGGUGUGACUGCGUACCUUUUGUAUAAUGGGUCAGCGACUUAUAUUCAGUAGCGAGGUUAACCGUAUAGGGGAGCCGUAGAGAAAUCGAGUCUUAAUAGGGCGUUUAGUUGCUGGGUAUAGACCCGAAACCAGGCGAUCUAUCCAUGAGCAGGUUGAAGGUUGGGUAACACUAACUGGAGGACCGAACCCACUGUCGUUGAAAAGCCAGGGGAUGACUUGUGGAUAGGGGUGAAAGGCUAAUCAAGCCUGGUGAUAGCUGGUUCUCCCCGAAAGCUAUUUAGGUAGCGCCUCGGACGAAUACCAUAGGGGGUAGAGCACUGUUUCGGCUAGGGGGUCAUCCCGACUUACCAAACCGAUGCAAACUCCGAAUACCUAUGAGUACUAUCCGGGAGACAGACUGCGGGUGCUAACGUCCGUAGUCAAGAGGAAAACAAUCCAGACCGCCAGCUAAGGCCCCAAAAUCAUAGUUAAGUGGGAAACGAUGUGGGAAGGCAUAGACAGCUAGGAGGUUGGCUUAGAAGCAGCCACCCUUUAAAGAAAGCGUAAUAGCUCACUAGUCGAGUCGGCCUGCGCGGAAGAUGUAACGGGGCUAAAACUAUGUGCCGAAGCUGCGGAUGUAUACUUUGUAUACGUGGUAGGGGAGCGUUCUGUAAGCCGAUGAAGGUGUGUUGAGAAGCAUGCUGGAGGUAUCAGAAGUGCGAAUGCUGACGUGAGUAACGACAAAACGGGUGAAAAACCCGUUCGCCGAAAGACCAAGGGUUCCAGUCCAACGUUAAUCGGGGCUGGGUGAGUCGACCCCUAAGGCGAGGCCGAAAGGCGUAGUCGAUGGGAAAAUGGUUAAUAUUCCAUUACUUCUGUGUAAUGCGAUGAGAGGACGGAGAAGGCUAAAUCAGCCUGGCGUUGGUUGUCCAGGUGAAAGGAUGUAGGCAUGUAUCUUAGGCAAAUCCGGGGUACUCUAUGCUGAGAUCUGAUAGCAAGCUGUACUUGUACAGCGAAGUGGUUGAUGCCAUGCUUCCAGGAAAAGUCUCUAAGCUUCAGUUACACAGGAAUCGUACCCGAAACCGACACAGGUGGUCAGGUCGAGUAGACCAAGGCGCUUGAGAGAACUCUGCUGAAGGAACUAGGCAAAAUGGUACCGUAACUUCGGGAGAAGGUACGCUGUUGUUGGUGAUGGAACUCGCUUCCUGAGCUGACGACAGCCGCAGAAACCAGGCCGCUGCAACUGUUUAUUAAAAACAUAGCACUCUGCAAACACGAAAGUGGACGUAUAGGGUGUGAUGCCUGCCCGGUGCUGGAAGGUUAAUUGAUGGGGUUAGCGUAAGCGAAGCUCUUGAUCGAAGCCCCAGUAAACGGCGGCCGUAACUAUAACGGUCCUAAGGUAGCGAAAUUCCUUGUCGGGUAAGUUCCGACCUGCACGAAUGGCAUAAUGAUGGCGGCGCUGUCUCCAGCAGAGGCUCAGUGAAAUCGAAAUCGCUGUGAAGAUGCAGUGUACCCGCGGCUAGACGGAAAGACCCCGUGAACCUUUACUGCAGCUUGACACUGAACUUUGACCUUACUUGUGUAGGAUAGGUGGGAGGCUUUGAAGCUGGAACGCUAGUUCCAGUGGAGCCGUCCUUGAAAUACCACCCUGGUAAUGUUGAGGUUCUAACUCUGUCCCGUGAUCCGGGACGAGGACCGUGUCUGGUGGGUAGUUUGACUGGGGCGGUCUCCUCCUAAAGAGUAACGGAGGAGUACGAAGGUGCGCUCAGCGUGGUCGGAAAUCACGCGUAGAGUAUAAAGGCAAAAGCGCGCUUAACUGCGAGACCCACAAGUCGAGCAGGUACGAAAGUAGGUCUUAGUGAUCCGGUGGUUCUGUAUGGAAGGGCCAUCGCUCAACGGAUAAAAGGUACUCUGGGGAUAACAGGCUGAUACCGCCCAAGAGUUCAUAUCGACGGCGGUGUUUGGCACCUCGAUGUCGGCUCAUCUCAUCCUGGGGCUGAAGCAGGUCCCAAGGGUAUGGCUGUUCGCCAUUUAAAGAGGUACGCGAGCUGGGUUUAGAACGUCGUGAGACAGUUCGGUCCCUAUCUACCGUGGGCGCUGGAAAUUUGAGAGGAUCUGCUCCUAGUACGAGAGGACCAGAGUGGACGAACCUCUGGUGUACCGGUUGUGACGCCAGUCGCAUCGCCGGGUAGCUAUGUUCGGAAGGGAUAACCGCUGAAAGCAUCUAAGCGGGAAGCCUACCUCAAGAUAAGAUUUCCCUAGGACUUUAUGUCCUCUAAAGAGCCGUUCGAGACUAGGACGUUGAUAGGUUGGAUGUGGAAGCAUAGUGAUAUGUGAAGCUGACCAAUACUAAUUGCUCGUGAGGCUUGACUAU
RNAcentral lists this ribosomal RNA (2895 nucleotides) under Acinetobacter baumannii. Its description in RNAcentral is "23S ribosomal RNA". It matches the Rfam family "Bacterial large subunit ribosomal RNA". The record is from RNAcentral. Lineage: Bacteria; Pseudomonadati; Pseudomonadota; Gammaproteobacteria; Moraxellales; Moraxellaceae.